UACGUAGGUGGCAAGCGUUGUCCGGAUUUACUGGGCGUAAAGAGCGCGCAGGCGGUCGUUCAAGUCGCGUGUGAAAGCCCCCGGCUCAACUGGGGAGGGUCAUUCGAUACUGAUCGACUGGAAGGCAGGAGAGGGAAGCGGAAUUCCCGGUGUAGUGGUGAAAUGCGCAGAUAUCAGGAGGAACACCGGUGGCGAAGGCGGGUCUCUGGGCCGAUACUGACGCUGAGGAGCGAAAGCGUGGGGAGCGAACAGG
RNAcentral lists this ribosomal RNA (253 nucleotides) under uncultured bacterium. RNAcentral describes it as "partial 16S ribosomal RNA". It matches the Rfam family "Bacterial small subunit ribosomal RNA", at positions 524 to 776 of the family's 1533-position model. The record is from RNAcentral.